CCUACGGGGGGCAGCAGUGGGGAAUAUUGCACAAUGGGCGCAAGCCUGAUGCAGCCAUGCCGCGUGUGUGAAGAAGGCCUUCGGGUUGUAAAGCACUUUCAGCGGGGAGGAAGGCGGUGAGGUUAAUAACCUCAUCGAUUGACGUUACCCGCAGAAGAAGCACCGGCUAACUCCGUGCCAGCAGCCGCGGUAAUACGGAGGGUGCAAGCGUUAAUCGGAAUUACUGGGCGUAAAGCGCACGCAGGCGGUCUGUCAAGUCGGAUGUGAAAUCCCCGGGCUCAACCUGGGAACUGCAUUCGAAACUGGCAGGUUAGAGUCUUGUAGAGGGGGGUAGAAUUCCAGGUGUAGCGGUGAAAUGCGUAGAGAUCUGGAGGAAUACCGGUGGCGAAGGCGGCCCCCUGGACAAAGACUGACGCUCAGGUGCGAAAGCGUGGGGAGCAAACAGGAUUAGAUACCCCAGUAGUC
This 465-nucleotide ribosomal RNA is filed under the name uncultured Klebsiella sp. RNAcentral's name for it is "bacterial SSU rRNA". It matches the Rfam family "Bacterial small subunit ribosomal RNA", at positions 338 to 795 of the family's 1533-position model. The record is from RNAcentral. Lineage: Bacteria; Pseudomonadati; Pseudomonadota; Gammaproteobacteria; Enterobacterales; Enterobacteriaceae.